Epinephelus fuscoguttatus (brown-marbled grouper) is the source of this 1584-nucleotide long non-coding RNA. RefSeq lists it as uncharacterized. Lineage: Eukaryota; Metazoa; Chordata; Actinopteri; Perciformes; Serranidae. The transcript is spliced from 3 exons. The record is from RefSeq and is a predicted model, not a curated record.
UUCAAAGCUUUAGGCCAGGCAGUGAAUUCCCGGCUCAACUAAGAAAUUCUUCUGGCAUGUAAUGGGCCAUACAGACACAAGAUGUCAUAACUGGAUGCAUAUUAUAUAUUUAUACAUUUUUAGAGGUAACAACUGCCAAGUGUCCUGAUAAGGAGCGCAGAAGCUGGAUAAUGUUUGACAGGACGACGGAUCAAAGGUCCACGUUUGUUUUCUUGUCUGAUCCACCUUCACACUUAAGAGUGAUUUCUGUCAGCGCCCGAGUGUAAAUCUGAUCUGGGUUUUCUGGUGCGUGGGAGCAUCCUGUCUUCAGCAUCAUGGUGGAACUGGCCUUCUACCCAGCAGUGGCACUGAUAUAUUUUUUCGGAGUGAUGAAAGCCACACAGGAUGAUCGGGUGGAGCUGGAUGACCGGGCGUCGAUGAACGUGUUCUGUCUGUUUGUGUUGGCACAGCCGCUGUGUCUGGUGCUGGGAGGAUACACUGGCAUGGCUACAUACCUCCUCACAGCUCUGGUUUCCUACAACUUUCUGCCUUGGAGGGAGACAAAACAGCCUGCGAAGGAAAAAGAAUCAAAGAAGAAGAAGAAAAAGUGAGAACAAGGAACGUGCACUGUAUGGAGAUAGAGAGACAGUCAAUUCAAACAGGUUGUGAAAGGGAAAAUAAUUUAUAUGAGGAAUAAGCAUUCAGUAUGAAAAUCUUUUUUACAUGAAUAAAUUAAUGUGUUGCUACCUUGCUCGACCAUGCAGCACUUCUUUAACCUCUUUCAACAAAAGUGUUUUUCAUCUGCAUUUGUGCACAUCUGUGAGAAAGCACUUUAUCCAGGGACAUUCAGUUCUCUUCUGCAGAGGAAGUGACUCAUUCUAUAAUUCCUGAUGCAGCAACAGGGUUUAUUUUAGACAAAAAUGGACAGAUAACUUUGUUGUUCCCAUAAGACAUAACAACCAUAAUAAGGGGACUGAAGAACAGAAGGGCAACAAAUACAGAAAAACUCAAAAUCUAUAAAAUAAGAGAAGGCUUGAUAUUAAUGAAUCCUCACAGAGAGAUGCACAAAUGUAUGUGAUUUAUAUAUAAAUCCCUCAACAAUUUUUUUUGUCACUACACACAAAAAAAAUGUAUUAUUUAACAAAGCAAGAAAUCCACAAAUGUAUGUAUUUAAAAAUAGUAUCCAAAACAUAUUUGGAUGUUGUUAUAUUUUUUAUCAUGUAUUUUCAAUGGUAAUUAUUUGUAUUAUAUUUGUGUGUACAUCAUAAAUACAUUUUUAGGAAAGCCCUAAUUGGUGAGGUAAAAAAAAAAAAAAAGAAAAGAAAAGAAAGUGAGCCAAAUCGUACGCUUAUCUCCCAAAUAUGAUAUAUUAUCUCCUGCGUACAAGAUGUUAUCUUUUACGCAGGAAAUAGCAUUGCUGUGCUCAUGCUAGGUUCCAAUUAACAAAUGUUAUCUUUGAUUUUGAAACAGUAGCCUAAUGUUGUUUUUGUAUCAAUCUUUUUUGUUUUUCUUAAAUUGCAUUGAUUUAAUCAUGUAAUAAUCUCAGUAAAGCUAAACAAACAACAACACAAGGCUACCACAGUUAUAUUACGUUACAUUAGCGUG